RNAcentral lists this unclassified non-coding RNA (291 nucleotides) under uncultured Thaumatomonas. RNAcentral describes it as "partial internal transcribed spacer 2". Lineage: Eukaryota; Cercozoa; Imbricatea; Thaumatomonadida; Thaumatomastigidae. The record is from RNAcentral.
CUAUCUAAACUCGCCUGCGUUUUUAACGAAACACUGGCGGAAAUUGAGCGUCACACUUUUUCUCGAAGUGUGUUGCUUGAAAGGUAGAAGCGGUAGUUCCCUUCUUUUUCUCUCGAGAAAAAACUCAUUGGUUCUUCUUGGGGCUUGCCCCAAGCUGAAGCAAACUGAGUGACGUGGUUAAGUUCGCCUCGUGCGACACCGCUACGUCAACCAUCUCAGUGCGCUGCAGUUGGAUCAACCGAGUGCGGAACACUAUUACCGUUCUUUGGAUUAUUUACUCCAAACAACAAA